AUGCAGCUGACGAGUCCCGAAUGGGACGAAACGCGUGUCCUGGAU
Molecule: non-coding RNA, 45 nt
Filed under: Schistosoma mansoni
Lineage: Eukaryota; Metazoa; Platyhelminthes; Trematoda; Strigeidida; Schistosomatidae
Source: RNAcentral